This 82-nucleotide microRNA precursor is filed under the name Mustela putorius furo (domestic ferret). RNAcentral describes it as "miRNA (ENSMPUG00000021296.1)". The record is from RNAcentral. Lineage: Eukaryota; Metazoa; Chordata; Mammalia; Carnivora; Mustelidae.
ACCUGUGUGUUCCAUUCUGUGUGUGUGUGUGUGUGUGUGUGUGUGUACGCGCGCGCGCACACACACACACACCCGCACGCCC